CCUACGGGUGGCUGCAGUGAGGAAUAUUGGUCAAUGGGCGGAAGCCUGAACCAGCCAAGUAGCGUGCGGGAUGAAGGCCCUACGGGUCGUAAACCGCUUUUGCACGGGGAUAACACCCUCCACUUGUGGAGGUCUGCAGGUACCGUGCGAAUAAGGGCCGGCUAAUUCCGUGCCAGCAGCCGCGGUAAUACGGAAGGCCCGAGCGUUAUCCGGAUUCAUUGGGCUUAAAGGGAGCGUAGGCGGGCGUUCAAGUCAGCUGUAAAAUCGCGCGGCUCAACCGCGCCCCGCAGUUGAAACUGGACGCAUUGAGUUCACAACAGGCAGGCGGAAUGCGUGGUGUAGCGGUGAAAUGCUUAGAUAUCACGCAGAACCCCGAUUGCGAAGGCAGCCUGCCAAGCCAUGACUGACGCUGAUGCACGAAAGCGUGGGGAUCAAACAGGAUUAGAUACCCGAGUAGUC
This 459-nucleotide ribosomal RNA is filed under the name uncultured bacterium. Its description in RNAcentral is "partial 16S ribosomal RNA". It matches the Rfam family "Bacterial small subunit ribosomal RNA", at positions 338 to 795 of the family's 1533-position model. The record is from RNAcentral.